AAGGAGGGCUUGGGGACGCGGCAGGUGGGGCCUGGGCACCGGUGGGAAAAUGAGGAAUAAGGGCAGGAGAGAGGCCUGGAGGCAGGUGGGAGCUUGUUGGAGGCAGGCGUGGCAGAGGAGGGUGGGUUUGGGGCAGGCCAGCUGGGGGUGAGGAGAUCCGGCUGAGUGGAGCUGCCUUUUUGCCCGGGAGCAGCUCAGCUACAGGCGAUAAUCCCAGGAGGUGAUUACAGCUGGAGGAAUUCUAAGCAGUCCACCUCUCCUGGUCAUGGUGUUUAAGUGCAUUGUGCUCCUGUCUGAACAGAGGAAAUCACUGAGAUCUUUCUUUCUCGUCCUAAUGCAUACCUCGGGUUCUAGUAGAAUCCUGCUCUUGCAUGGUGCCCGAACCUCAUUGCUGCUCCCUGUGUUCAGCUGGAAAUGGACAGACACCAUUUGUGACCGCCUGAAUAUCCUGAGUCACCGGUUACCAGCUGGCAUGUGUGCUGCGGUUUUCAUUUCUUCCUUUACGACUGCACUCCCUAGAGGAGACUUGCAACAAUUGCAGUUGUCACCUAAAGGGCUUUAACGGACUUGUCUGGAUCCACACAAUUGGUGGAUGACCUCCGACUACGUCUAUGGGGUCUUGACAUGUCACUGCUGGACACGUCUCUGAUCUGAACUGCAGCACUUCCAUUCUGUCCUGCUAAAAUAACAUCAUAUUAAAUGGUAUUAUUCUGCCCAUGCCAUCUCCACCUAAUGACUGAAAAGUUAAAUUUUUGCUAAACCAAGUGAAAUGUGCAUAUUAUAUUAAAUAUUACAUAUUAAUAUUUAAUUUACGUAACAUAUUAGUGGUCAGCUGAUUUCACUGGCAUGAAGAUUGUAAUGUAUUUAAUGUGGACAGAUUAAUGCUUGCCUGGGACCGAAUGAGUUAAAGCAGCUCCCUCUGCUGAAAUAUCCAGUGAAAUAGGGUGAUGCUCUGUAAAUCAAAUGUUUGUUUGCAACAGGUUGCCAGUGUUUGCCUAGGACAGUCCAUCCUGGCAGGGAUCCUGCUGAGAAGGAGAGAUGUGGGUUGUGCUGACUCAUGGAAAUGGGGGCAAGUUGCCUUAGUAGAGUAAGGAGUGGCUCCCCAUAGGAGCAGGACAGAGGUUUUGGUGUGAGAGCUUUUAACCUCUAGGAGGAAGUGAAGGGAAAAAUUACAAGAUGGACUUUGAAGUCUGACUUGAUUAAAUUCUGGCUCCUCUUGCUUCAUGACAGGCUUGCCCCAAAUGGGAUAGUGGUGUUAAAGAGUCAUGCACCUCUCUGAAGUGUCCUGGGAGAACACGCACCAUGGCUGAGGGCAGCUGUAGUCCUAAGAGGAGUUUUCUUGAGAGGGAUGGCUGACGAAAACUUAC
This is a long non-coding RNA of Apus apus (common swift), 1367 nucleotides long. RefSeq lists it as uncharacterized. NCBI's taxonomy places the organism in Eukaryota, Metazoa, Chordata, Aves, Apodiformes, Apodidae. The transcript is spliced from 4 exons. The record is from RefSeq and is a predicted model, not a curated record.